GUGGGGAAUCUUGCGCAAUGGGCGAAAGCCUGACGCAGCCAUGCCGCGUGAAUGAUGAAGGUCUUAGGAUUGUAAAAUUCUUUCACCGGGGACGAUAAUGACGGUACCCGGAGAAGAAGCUCCGGCUAACUUCGUGCCAGCAGCCACGGUAAUACGAAGGGGGCUAGCGUUGCUCGGAAUUACUGGGCGUAAAGGGCGCGUAGGCGGACAGCUUAGUCAGAGGUGAAAGCCCAGGGCUCAACCUUGGAAUUGCCUUUGAUACUGGCUGUCUUGAGUACGGGAGAGGUGAGUGGAACUCCGAGUGUAGAGGUGAAAUUCGUAGAUAUUCGGAAGAACACCAGUGGCGAAGGCGACUCACUGGCCCGUUACUGACGCUGAGGCGCGAAAGCGUGGGGAGCAAACAGGAUUAGAAACCCUUGUAGUCC
This 425-nucleotide ribosomal RNA is filed under the name uncultured bacterium. RNAcentral's name for it is "partial 16S ribosomal RNA". It matches the Rfam family "Bacterial small subunit ribosomal RNA", at positions 354 to 796 of the family's 1533-position model. The record is from RNAcentral.